Molecule: ribosomal RNA, 774 nt
Filed under: uncultured bacterium
Lineage: Bacteria
Description: bacterial SSU rRNA
Rfam family: Bacterial small subunit ribosomal RNA
Source: RNAcentral
AGAGUUUGAUCAUGGCUCAGAACGAACGCUGGCGGCAUGCCUAACACAUGCAAGUCGAACGCUCAUGAGGGUUUCGGCCCUUGUGGGAGUGGCGCACGGGUGAGUAGCGCGUGGGAACCUGCCCUGUUGUGGGGGAUAACCGAGGGAAACUUCGGCUAAUACCGCAUGCGCCCCGGGCCUGGUCUUCGGAUUAGGUCUGGGGGAAAGAUUCAUCGCAGCAGGAGGGGCCCGCGUCGGAUUAGCUAGUUGGUGGGGUAACGGCCCACCAAGGCUUUGAUCCGUAGCUGGUCUGAGAGGAUGAUCAGCCACACUGGGACUGAGACACGGCCCAGACUCCUACGGGAGGCAGCAGUGGGGAAUAUUGGACAAUGGGCGCAAGCCUGAUCCAGCAAUGCCGCGUGAGUGAUGAAGGCCUUAGGGUUGUAAAGCUCUUUCGCCCGCGACGAUGAUGACGGUAGCGGGAGAAGAAGCCCCGGCUAACUUCGUGCCAGCAGCCGCGGUAAUACGAAGGGGGCGAGCGUUGUUCGGAAUUACUGGGCGUAAAGGGCGCGUAGGCGGCCCUUCAAGUCAGGCGUGAAAGCCCCGGGCUCAACCUGGGAAUGGCGCUUGGGACUGGAGGGCUCGAGUUCGGGAGAGGAGAGUGGAAUUCCCAGUGUAGAGGUGAAAUUCAGAUAUUGGGAAGAACACCGGUGGCGAAGGCGGCUCUCUGGACCGAGACUGACGCUGAGGCGCGAAAGCGUGGGGAGCAAACAGGAUUAGAUACCCUAGUAGUCC